This 874-nucleotide long non-coding RNA is filed under the name Panax ginseng (ginseng). RNAcentral's name for it is "long non-coding RNA (PGIN_LNC001684)". Lineage: Eukaryota; Viridiplantae; Streptophyta; Magnoliopsida; Apiales; Araliaceae. The record is from RNAcentral.
ACUUAAUAAUCCUCAAUAGUACUGAAUAGAACCUAGCAUAACAAAAUACACCCUCUAUCAAAACAGAUACAAAAACAAUACACCAAACAGCUCCAACACAGCUGCGCAGAAACAGCAGUUCUCAUCCAACAUUAUACGUCAAAUUACUUCUAGCUAUAGCAUCCCCCCAAUGGCCAAUAAGGCCCCCUGGUAACAGACACCUAGCUAUAGCAGACCUCCCAUUUCUACUACUGCAAACCAUAUUCCAAACAAGCAAAUGUUUAAUGACAAACAACAACAGCAGACCAGGAAACAACUCACAUAGGUAACUUAAAUGGCCAAAUGAAUAAAUUUAUAUUUAACUUUUUGAAAUUUAGCAUAAGAAUACAGCCUACAAUUAAUUAAAUUCCGAGUGAUUUGCACAAUAGAUUUGGCCGGGAGGGAAAUAUUAUCAUGUAGUCUAUUAUUGGGCUAAAUCCAUAAAUUGUAGACUACCACUGCAAAAGUCAGGUGGAUCAGGUGAAACUGGACCUUACCACUCGUGCAGGAACCCAAGAACCUUGUAAUGUCAGCCUAGGUACGACUCAAACCUCUUCAUCCACAAUCUUAAGACCAAGACAAGAACUUGCAAGGAGUAAGGACACUGAAAGAAGAGAUGCUUAAAACUCAGGAGUAACAGCACAGAGUAGGCAGGAAGGGUCCAUAACCAUUCCAUAAUUAAUAAGUCAAUCUUUCGUUCGAAGCCCUUUGUGAAAUCCCAUCCAAAGGAAAAAAGAGUACCGAGGAGGAAGACAGUUAUGCCAAACAGUUUUGUACCAGUCAAUGUUGAGCCCACACUUUCUACUGGAGCCCCAGAUUGAUGCCACUUUAAUCUCUCUAAUAUUGAAUGAUUCCC